Molecule: ribosomal RNA, 378 nt
Filed under: uncultured bacterium
Lineage: Bacteria
Description: bacterial SSU rRNA
Rfam family: Bacterial small subunit ribosomal RNA
Source: RNAcentral
GACGAACGCUGGCGGCGUGCUUAACACAUGCAAGUCGAGCGGUAAGGCCCUUUCGGGGGUACACGAGCGGCGAACGGGUGAGUAACACGUGGGUGACCUGCCCUUAGCUCUGGGAUAAGCCUGGGAAACUGGGUCUAAUACCGGAUAUGACUCCAUGACGCAUGUUGUGGGGUGGAAAGCCUCGUGCGGCUAGGGAUGGGCCUGCGGCCUAUCAGCUUGUUGGUGGGGUGAUGGCCUACCAAGGCGACGACGGGUAGCCGGCCUGAGAGGGCGACCGGCCACACUGGGACUGAGACACGGCCCAGACUCCUACGGGAGGCAGCAGUGGGGAAUCUUGCGCAAUGGGCGAAAGCCUGACGCAGCGACGCCGCGUGGGGA